AUCCUCUCAUUUUACUCAUACACAUGCUUCUGACCUUGUUAACACAUGCUCAGGCUCAUUUUACUCAUGCACAUGCUCAUGAUCUUCUUAGUUAUGACUGUAAGUACUCCAACUUGAGUACAUCAUUUUCUUCAGCUUGAGUACAAUUCAAAUCAAAAUCCAUUUUGGAGUACUCCAAGUUACUGAUCUGUUGUACUGAUCUCCAAGUUACUCCAUUCAAAUAAAUGUGUUGAUCAGAUCCGCUGUAGUACUUGUUGUUGAUCUUGCUGUAGUAGUUGUUGUUGAUCUCAUCUGCUGUAGUUGUUGUUGAACUUUUGGACAUUCUUGCCAAUCUAAUAUUUGAACCACCUACAGGUCAACUUGAUCAAUCUUGACACCAACAUCAGGAAUCAUUCGGGCGGUAGUGUCACCAGCCCUUUGUCACUCUGAGAAUAUACAUUGUCUUCACUCCUUUACAGUAGCUCAAGGCGUCCUAAAUAGAAUGUAAAGAUUGUAAUAUUGUAAUGGUAGGCAUAUGUGGGUUGGAUUAGACAUGUACAGAUUGUAGUAGGAGUAUUUACCAUUCUUGUUCUAUUUGCAAUUUUAAUUAUGUCAUUUGGAAACGUGUGAAAUGGAACCUGGCUCAUGGUACCCAAUUAAGGGCCUAAUAUGUGUAAGACUAUGACAAGUGGGACCUAUCUAAUUGGUGGGACCAGAUAUCAUGACCCAAAAAAUGUUAUAAGCCCACAACCUAGAAAACAAAAAAAGGCUGAAAAGUUGGACGAGGCCCAUGUAGCUAACCAAAAUCAAUAGAAAAAAUAUAUAUUAAAAGGGCUGAAUUAUUGGGCUCGGCCCAUGUAAAGCAUCGAAUUGGACCGGGCUGAUUCAUGUCAAUGACCAAUCCAAUUGGUCGUAGGUGUGCCACGUCAGCUUGCCACAUUGGAUCCGACGUGGUGUGGGCACACUUCUAAUGACCAAAAUGAUUGGUCGUUAAACCUAUGACCUUUUUUGUCGUAAAAUUCUACGACGAUUCCAGCAGAAAGGUCGUUAUCGUUCACUAGAGACCCUCAGCUUUUGAUUGCCCGUUUUUGGUCGUAAAAAGGUCGCAAAUGGAAAUCAACGACCAUUCGUAGACCAAUAUUGAAGGUCGUAAGUUAGCAUAUUUCUUGUAGUGGAGGGCAGCAAAUUGAACAUCAACGCCCACAAACUCUUUUGUGAUCUACUCGAGAUAUCAUCUACGCAUGAACCUAGCUCAUGAUGCCACUGUUGGGGAACAUCGCAUGGGAAACAAAAAAAAUCCUACGCGCACGCAAUACCUAUCCAUGGUGAUGAUCAUCUACAAGAGAGGAGAGUGAAUCUACAUACCCUUGUAGAUUGCUAAGCGAAAGCGUAUAUAAUGCGGUUGAUGUAGUGGAACAUCUUCGCGAUCCAAAUCACAGCCCAUCCCGCGAUCUCAUCACGACCCGUCCCGCGAUCCCAUCACUAUCCAUCCCGAUCUAGUGCCGGACGGACGACACCUCCGUGUUCAGCACACAUACAGCUCGAUGACGAUCACCGCCUUGUUGAUCCAGCAAGAUGGGCGGAGAGGUAGAUGAGUUCUCCAGCACGACGGUGUGGUGGUGUAGGUGGUGAACUAAUCCAGCAGGGCUUCGCCUAAUAACUGCCGAAGUAGACUACAGGAGAAACAUAUCUAGAGGGAGAGAGAGGGAGCACGUG
Molecule: long non-coding RNA, 1695 nt
Filed under: Hordeum vulgare
Lineage: Eukaryota; Viridiplantae; Streptophyta; Magnoliopsida; Poales; Poaceae
Description: long non-coding RNA (HVUL_LNC010398)
Source: RNAcentral